RNAcentral lists this ribosomal RNA (447 nucleotides) under uncultured bacterium. Its description in RNAcentral is "bacterial SSU rRNA". It matches the Rfam family "Bacterial small subunit ribosomal RNA", at positions 29 to 507 of the family's 1533-position model. The record is from RNAcentral.
AACGAACGCUGGCGGCAGGCCUAACACAUGCAAGUCGAGCGAAGCCUUCGGGUUUAGCGGCGGACGGGUGAGUAACGCGUGGGAAUAUGCCCUUUGGUACGGAACAGUCCCGGGAAACUGGGUUUAAUACCGUAUGUGGUCCUUCGUAGUGGAUACGGGGGACGAAAGAUUUAUCGCCAAAGGAUUAGCCCGCGUUGGAUUAGGUAGUUGGUGGGUAACGGCCUACCAAGCCGACGAUCCAUAGCUGGUUUGAGAGGAUGAUCAGCCACACUGGGACUGAGACACGGCCCAGACUCCUACGGGAGGCAGCAGCGGGGAAUCUUAGACAAUGGGGGCAACCCUGAUCUAGCCAUGCCGCGUGAGUGAUGAAGGCCUUAGGGUUGUAAAGCUCUUUCAGCUGGGAAGAUAAUGACGGUACCAGCAGAAGAAGCCCCGGCUAACUCCGUG